GAUGAACGCUGGCGGCGUGCUUAACACAUGCAAGUCGAACGAUGAAGCCCAGCUUGCUGGGUGGAUUAGUGGCGAACGGGUGAGUAACACGUGAGUAACCUGCCCCUAACUCUGGGAUAAGCCUGGGAAACUGGGUCUAAUACCGGAUAGGAGCGUCCACCGCAUGGUGGGUGUUGGAAAGAUUUAUCGGUUUUGGAUGGACUCGCGGCCUAUCAGCUUGUUGGUGAGGUAAUGGCUCACCAAGGCGACGACGGGUAGCCGGCCUGAGAGGGUGACCGGCCACACUGGGACUGAGACACGGCCCAGACUCCUACGGGAGGCAGCAGUGGGGAAUAUUGCACAAUGGGCGAAAGCCUGAUGCAGCGACGCCGCGUGAGGGAUGACGGCCUUCGGGUUGUAAACCUCUUUCAGUAGGGAAGAAGCGAAAGUGACGGUACCUGCAGAAGAAGCACCGGCUAACUACGUG
RNAcentral lists this ribosomal RNA (466 nucleotides) under uncultured bacterium. RNAcentral describes it as "partial 16S ribosomal RNA". It matches the Rfam family "Bacterial small subunit ribosomal RNA", at positions 28 to 507 of the family's 1533-position model. The record is from RNAcentral.